CUGCGAGUCCGGCUCAGGCCGGCCUCGCAGUAAAGCCAGAGCCGCAGCCCACAAAGCCGCGGCUCAUACUCGAAAAACAUGACGACCAGCAGGGGCAUCCGGGCUGGUACCCGGACUAUCUGCGGGAACCCAAGUGGCUUUAUCCGAGUCGCAGCAUCAUGACUUUGAUCAGGACCAUGCGGUAUUCACGCCGGUGGUGUCCCCUUACCGAGGGUGACCA
RNAcentral lists this non-coding RNA (220 nucleotides) under Pseudomonas sp. 8O. Its description in RNAcentral is "sucA-II". It matches the Rfam family "sucA-II RNA". The record is from RNAcentral. Lineage: Bacteria; Pseudomonadati; Pseudomonadota; Gammaproteobacteria; Pseudomonadales; Pseudomonadaceae.